Molecule: long non-coding RNA, 2700 nt
Organism: Mesocricetus auratus (golden hamster)
Lineage: Eukaryota; Metazoa; Chordata; Mammalia; Rodentia; Cricetidae
Exons: 4
Source: RefSeq, a predicted model, not a curated record
UGGGUUAAAGGAUGGAUGGGUCGGUGUGGAUGAAGGUGCAGCUCUGCUUCCGGCCCUCUGAGAACUGAGCUGGGUCUGUGAAGGACCAGGGAUGAGCAGCUCUGAUGAUUAAAAUAGUGAAAAUCAAGAGCCUUAAGAAAACGUUAGGAUGUAAGCUUAUUUAACGCAGUGGAGGGAAAGUGGGCUAUAGCCUCAUCACUGUCUUCAAAAACACCCCAUUCGAGGGAAAGGCUUGUUAAAAUGUCGAGUGAAAGCUUUAUCUGCUCUGUGAGAUCAAUCAGGACUGUGGGCAAAGAAUACAAGGGGGACUGGCUUCAAGAAAGCCACCAAGCCACCUGGGGGGCGGGGCUUGUCUGCUGAGAAUAUCCUUGAGGCUGGUCACUAGUACAGCAGGCAAAACGUCAGUGUAACCAUGAGUUAGAAUGUCACAUAGCGUGGUGUAAAACUCAGGAGAAAAUGUGAAUCCACCUAAACCAAAUGCGUUGGCUGUAAAGCCACCAGCUCUGGGAAGCCAAGAUGGGAGGAUCCCUGUGCAUUUGAGGCCAACACGGGCCUACAAAGUGAGUCCAGGGGCAGUCUUGUCGACACAAUGAGGUCCUCUCUCAAAACCAGCUACAAAACAAGUUUAAAUGAGAACAGCAAGGUAGCCAGGGGCAGGAUAAAUGAGAUCGGUGAAAGGCGGCGCCUGAUCCUUCCCAAGUCGCCUCCUACCUGGCGUUCACUGCCACUGCCGCCACUGUUAGCCCUAAGAGUCCCUGUGCUGUUAACCCAAAGCAGCAGUAGCGUGUCCUUGUAUUUCCUUGCUGGCACGGCGUAGACCAGCUAAGCAUCUCUUCCGUGCCAAAAUGCAGCGGGGGUGACUGGGAAUGCAAGCAAGCCAACCACACACCAGCACUCUCCUCUUUCACUUCUUCCGCUUAACAGAAUUGUUGGGGGUGAGAGGUCAUGCACAGAGACGGCAGCGGAGGGUGCCGCAGAGACAGAUGUAGCUGGGGAUGAAGCCAGGCUUCCUGGUGGAGACCGGGCAUGGAGGCUGCUGGGUAAGAAGCAUGCUGCUGCGAGGCCCCGGAGCCAGGAGACAGAAUGGCUGCAACUGAAACAUCGUGGAGAAGUACUGAGGCUGGCUGGGGGGCCCGCCUGCGACACGUGCAGGACGGCUUCACGGGCCACGCUAAUGAGUUUGACGUUCAUCCUAAGCAAAUGCUUGCAGGGUUGGAAGCUGGAGAGUGAGGCGGGUGAGCUGCCUUUUAUGAAGACGGGAAGGAGAACGUUCGAAUGGCGUGACUGGACGGCAAUGUUUAGAGGAACAAGAGUUCCUAAGCAAAACCUGCAGGCAGAGCUGAGCAGGGGAAGCAGAAAGCAAGCAGACUUUACUGAUCCAGUCCCCCCUUUCCCACCGUGGACCUGGAGAGUCUAUGGCACACCGCUGCCGUGGAAAGCGCUAAGGAGUGAAGUCAAGCGUCUUUUCCUCCAGAGUGUCUGACUGGGGCAUUCACCCAACAGAUCAUUUGCCGAUGGUAACUUAGUUACUUGUCUGUUGUUGUAACAAAAAGGAAACUACCUGAAGAAACUUCAGGAAGGAAGUGGUUAUUCUGCCUCAUAAUUCAAGGGUCCAGUCCACCAUGCCUGAGAGCUCAGACACAGGGCUUGAAGCAGAAGGAUCACAGGACAGUUAUACUCAGAAAGCAGAUAAGGAAUGCUUUUGCUCAGCUCACGUCCCCUUUUUAUGCAGUCCAGGGUACCAGCCGAGGGAACGCCGCCACCCACCAUGGUUGUGUCUUCCCACUAUAAUGAAUAUAGCCUAGAUGACCCCUCAUAAAUGUGGUUGGAGGCUUGUUUCUUAGGCAAUUCUGGAUUCUAUCAUGUCAACAAUUCAUACUAACCAUUGCAUAGCAUUUAUCAAUGCAUAGGAGCUCUUUAUGUAUUAAGAACUGAGUUCUUUGCACAGUGAGCUCCCAUGCUGCAUGUACACAUAGAUACAUAGAAAUACAUUUACAUAUAAUUUAUAUAACACAUAUGUGCUCAUUCUGGGGAUCAAAUCCAGGGCUUCACACUUGCCGAGCAAACAUGGAAAUUUCAAAUCAUCUUUUCUGUUUAUUUUGGAAUCUUUACUGAAAUCCCAUGAAAUGUGUAAGUUGAUUAAAGAACUGAAAUGAAAAUAUUGAGGGUUUCAUUUGUACAAAACUUACUUUUUGCCUUUUGGCUAGACUUGGUUCUUGAUGUCACACACUCUUGUGAGAACUGUGUGUUCCAUCUUCUCAGCUGCCUUCAACAGUGAGGUCUCUUCUGCCUCCCCAUGUUGCUGACUGGUUCUGUUUAUGAACAUCAUUUUUAUCUGUGCCUGUUAACUGUGUACCCAACGACUUAUCUCCAGUUUUUCUGUUGGCUCUCUGACCCACUGCUUCAGGUCUAAAACUGUCUCCUUUUCGACCUCCAUGCCCCCCCUCCCUCCUGCUUCCUCUCCCUCCUCCCUUUCUCCUUUCCCCUUUUCCUCCAUUUCUCCUUGCUCAAUAAUUCCGUUUAGCACCUCUGAGAUACUGCAAAGUCUCAGUGGUGAUAGGAUGAUGCACGCUUUUAUUGUACAUGAAACAUACCUGGAAGCUGCUUGCUGCCUUUGGGAUAGAAGCAUUAGAUGGAAUUCGUAUUAACCCUUGACUCUUCCUUCAGUUAAUAAAAAAUACUGGAUGUAAGCAAAUGCCA